RNAcentral lists this long non-coding RNA (5075 nucleotides) under Ornithorhynchus anatinus (platypus). Its description in RNAcentral is "lncRNA (ENSOANG00000041784.1)". Lineage: Eukaryota; Metazoa; Chordata; Mammalia; Monotremata; Ornithorhynchidae. The record is from RNAcentral.
CUGGGACGGUGGGGUGAAAUGUCAGCUCGCCCGUUGCAGCGUCGGCUGAGGUCACCCACAGAUUAAAGAAAUCCCGGAUUAUCUCUCUUGAUGCUUGAGUUUUCUCCGUCUCUUGCUUUUAGUACAAAAUAGAUGGUCGUUUGGCUAGAUGUUGGUGUAACGAUUGUAGGAUCGAAACAAGUUUUCUGUUUCUGCUUAAGCAUAAAACCGGGGUAACGAUUAUUUCAUUUGAGCGUGGGAAGAACGCUUCAUAUAAAAAAAUCCUAAAUACGUCGAUGGGAUAUUUUCCGAGAACGUUCCGCAUCCCUGAGAUGGAACUCAGCCAACCAAGAAUGGAAAUUCACCUAGAGUCAUAAACGUCUCUCAACUUGCCGAGAUCAGCUGCCGUUCUUUUCGGGAGAGCAAAUGGGGCAAGAAAUCUGUGCAACUUAAACUUAUAACUAUUGCCCUCAAGAGCUGGUUUCGAAGAUUCAAAAGAUUUUUCUGUGUUCAACCCUGUAUGUGCCGAGCGUUUCUAAAGAGAAGUGCGGAUGAGAAAAUUGGUUACCAUCUUUUCCCAGAGGAAGAGGAAGAAACAAAGAAGUUACACCUGGAGGGAAGGAAAAAUUUUAUAAUCUCCAGUACAGGACAUGGAUUUCAAAAGACAUCACCGAGAGGUCUAGGCAAACACACAAAAGCUUUUGAAAUAGAGAAGCCUAUCACAUAUAAUGGUGAUAAAAGAUGGACUUGAACAAACCUCUUAAAUUUAGUUUGAGGGACAGUGGCUAGCAAUGUAUGAUCUCAGUGUUGUUACUGGAAACUUAAAAUAAUCUCUGACGCUCUGCGAUCCCUUAAACUGGCUGAAGAGUGGAGUGAGGGCCCUCCUGCUCUGACUGAAUUCCAGUUUGGAAAGUCAUAACCUUUCCUAUCCAUCCCCCAAUUUUCUGUGUCCUUCUCUCCCUACCCUCCCGGAGUGGGGUGACAGGGGAUGUGUCUACCAACUCUUUUGUACUGUACUCUCCCGAGCGCUUAGAACAGUGCUCUGUACAUAGAAAGUGCUGAAUGACCAUCAUUAAUUAAUAGAUUGAUUGUCUGAUAGAGUCAGUAGUCUUUCAUUGGCCUUCAAAUUGGCAGUCCUCCAAGAAGAAACUGCCAAACCCAAGUCCGUAGAAAAGGUCGUUCUUUAGACAUCUUGAGAUUCCCCUGGGUUCUUCUUUCGUCCACCCCAAGACUGGCAAAAUCAUUCUCUACAUCAGCCUUCCACAUCUAAAUGUAGUUUUGAUUCUCAAGGCUAUUGAGAGAUGAGGAGGGAGAUAAUCCCCUUCCCAAAAGCCUCGCGGCCAAGAAUCUUCGAACAGCUGUGCUGUGGGGAGGGGACACAGCUUCUGUAUUCCUCCGUCUGCACUAAAAUAAUACAUGAGCAUCCAUGAUUAUGAUCCUUAAUUAUUGUUUUAUAACUGACUUUUUAAAAGCCCGAUCUAGACCUCUGCAAGCUAGAGAGGAAGUCCUGGAGUGUCGACGUAUAGAAGCCAUUCACUGGUCAUUGAUUUUAUGCCGACAAAAUGCCAGGGCCUUUUUCGUCCUAGAAAUGUCUGUAAAUGCCAUCCUUUACUCACUGAAAAAUAGUUAUGAAUGUCGGCCAAGGUAACUUGAAUCUGAUACACAUUAUGACUAAGCGAAUGACCUAAGAGAAUGAAUUUAUGGAGGGUUUUUGGAUCCAACAGUUGGCUGCCUGGUGUAGGAAAGUUUAAAUAUUUUUAAAUGAUUUCUUUCCUCCUCUCCCUUUUCCUUCUUCUGUCCCUCCUUUCUUUCCAUUUCCACCUCCUCCCUCCCUUCCCCUUUCUUCAACUCCGGUCCCCAUCUCCCCCUCUUCCACUCUGAGGUGCCCUCACCCGAUUCUGGCCUCCGCGUAACUAGAGCCAAGAUCAUGGCUUUCGUCGUGACAGAUGGGACAGGAAACUGGAGCAUCGGGAAACCAAAGCCAAGCUUUCAUGAGAGUCCUUUGCCAGCCCCAAAUUCCACGUUGUCAAAAGUGAGCCCAUCCAUAACAGAGUUAUUGCUCUAAAUGGGGAAAGUAAGGAGUUCUGGAUUUUUGGAAAGGGCACAGGUUUGGGAUUCCAAUCCUGGCUCUACCACUUGCCUGCUGUAAUUUAAUUCUGCAAUUGAUUUAUUUCUAUUACUGUCUGUCUCCCCCUCUGGACUGUAAGAUUGUUAUGGGUGGGGACCGUUUCUAUUAUAUUGUUAUAUUGUACUCUCCCAAGCGCUUAGUAUUCAUUCAUUCAGUCAGUCGUAUUUUUUGAGCGCUUACUGUGUGCAGAGCACUGUACUAAGCGCUUGGAAAGUACAAUUCGGCAACAAAUAGAGACAAUCCCUACCCAUCAACGGGCUCACAGUCUAGAAGCGGGCAGGACAGACAUCAAAAUGGGCAUCAAUAGCAUCAAUAUAAAUAAAUAGAAUUAUAGAUAUAUACACAUCAUUAAUAAAAUAAAUAGAAUAAUGAAUAUGUACAUAUAUACACAAGUGUUGUGGGGUGGGAAGGGGGGUAGAGUAGAGGGAGGGGUCAGGGCGAUGGGGAGGGGAGGAGGAGCAGAGGAAAAGGGGGGUUAAUCUGGGAAGGUACUCUGCACACAGUAAGAGCUCAAUAAAUACAACUGACUGACUGCUGUAAGACUACGGGCAAGUGACUUAACUUCUCCAUGCCUCAGUUUCCUCUGUAAUGUGGGAACUAAGUAUCCUCUCUCCCCUAACCCCUCCCAUAGACUGAGCCCCCUCCCCACCCUCCCAGUGACACAGGGACUGUGUCCGAUCUGAUUAUAUUGGAUUUACUUGACAAUGACCUUUAUAUUUACUCAUGUUAUGCUUGACAUAAAAUAAUUGUCAUAUUUGUUUUGCACCUAUUAUUGAGUAGAUACAAUACAUUCAGUUCAGAUGUAAUCUCUGUUCCCUUGGGUAGUUCAAAGCUAAAGGGGGAGAAAGGAAACAGGAAACUGAGGCACAGUGAAGCAAGUCACUUAACUUCUCUGUGCCUCAGUUCCCUCAUCUGUAAAAUGGGAUGAAGACUGUGAGCCCUACAUGGGACAACCUGAUUUCCUUGUAUCUACCCCAGCACUUAGAACAGUGCUUGGCACAUAGUAAGCACUUAACAAAUACCAUCAUUAUUAUUAUUACAAUACCACAAUAAAGAGUGACAACCCCUGCCCGCAAUAAUAAUGAUGGCAUUUGUUAAGUGCUUAUUAUGUGCCAAGCACACAUUGAACGCACAGCCUAGAGUUCAUGGUUAGCUCUAGUUAGCUCGUUAUGGUCAGGGAACGUGUCCUAAUUCUGUUGCACUUUACUCUCCCAAGUGCUUAGUACAGUGCUCUGCACAUAGUAAGUGCUCAAUAAAUACCAGUGAUUGACUAAUUGAUUGAUAGGACCUAGGCUUUUGACUCCUAGCUUUUUUUUCCAUUUGGCCAUCCUGCUUCUCAUAGUAAACUCCUGACAAAUACCACUGUUAUGAUUGUUAUUAUUGUCCUAUCAGCUCUGCCGCUGGUAAAUAUUUGAACACCUUUUCUUAUCCGAUUUUCUGGUAAAUAUUUGAACACCUUUUCUUACCCGAUUUUCAAUUUCCAAAUGGAAAGAAUGUGUACUACCUAGCUCGCUAAAGUGGUGAUCUGCACACAGUAAACCCUCAGUAAAUACUAUUGAUUGAUUAUAGAGAGGUAAUAAAUAAUUUUCAGAAAGGUCUUUGACAGCUCUGUAUGAGAGGAACAACCAAAAGUAAUGUGGUACUUAACCCGAUUUUGUAGUUCAUGAUUAUUAAUAAUUUAUUUCCUUCUGUGAUGGGUAUUUUUUUUUCAUGCAGGUCUUCGCUCUUUCUUUAAGUCCUUUGUCUAGGAUUUGGUAUUAGUGUGAAUCAGUUAUUAAAAAUUAAAGAGGAGCAGAUUGUCCUUAACAUGAAGCAGUCUGGUGAUAUGAAUGUAGUUUUAAUAUCUUCCACUGGAUUCUGCAAAACGUCACGGUUCUUUUCAUAAUAAUAAUAAUGAUAUUUGUUAAGAACUCACUAUGUGCCAGGCACUGUACUAAACACUGAUACGUACAAACAAAUCUGGUUGAAUACAAUCCCUGUCUCACAUGGGGCUCAAAGGAUGAAGUAACUGUCCCACUUGGGGCUGACAGAUGAGGUAACUGAGGCCCAGGGAAGUGAAGCGACUUGCCCGAGGUUACACUGCAGACAAGUGGAAGAGCUGGGAUUAGAACUCGUGACCUUCUGACUCUCUAGCCACUACACCAUGCUGCUUCCAUAUGAUAAUACCACAAUCCCCGUGCCAUGUGGGGCUCACAAUCUCAAACCCCAUUUUACAGAUGAGGUAACUGAGGCACAGAGAAGUGAUUUGAACAUGGUCACACAGCAAAGACGUGGUGAGGUUGGGAUUCAAUACUAGAAAUUAAUUAAUACAGAUCGUGUAAUAGUCUUGGGCACCCAAGGCGGUUACACUGAAAAGCAAGUGGGCAUGGUACCAGGGAAUAAUAGUAAUAUCCAUUCUGUGCUUAAGGGUCUGGGUGCUGAAGGGUUUCUAGCUAAUGAAAGCAGUAAGCUGAUUUAUUCUUGGAGUCAAGAAGUAAUGUGGGAAAAAAAAAAUCCUAAUUAGCCGUAGCCUCCAUUCGAGAACAACAGCUGUUCCACGCUCCCGAGAGAAGAGAUCCGGGGACUGAAGGCAAUUUAAUACCAGGUGCCUGCGCAGAGACUUUUCUAGAUAGAAAGUGUGGGUCCUCUAGUCCGAAAUGUCAGAGGCAGAAAACAGCCUGGAAUGAUAGAAGGGAGAGAAAAUCACCCCCUCUGGGUUCUAAACUCAUUAAGGGCAGGGUCCGUGUCUGCUAAUUCUGUUGGCCUGCACUUUCCCAAGUGCUUAGUACAGUGCUCUGCACAUAGGUGCUCAAAAAUACCACUGAUUGAUUGAUUGAUUUAUACUGACCUAACCGGAGAUUAAAGCAGCAUGGCCUAGUGGAAAUGGCCUGGGAGUCAGAGGAUCUGGCUUCUAAUCCCGACGUGGCCACUUGCCUGCUGCAUGAAUUUGGGUAAGUCACUUGAAUUUUCUGCACCUCAGUUUCUUCAG